GGAUAAGCCUGGGAAACCGGGUCUAAUACUGGAUACGACGUCCUACCGCAUGGUGGGGGGUGGAAAGGGUUUUACUGGUUUUGGAUGGGCUCACGGCCUAUCAGCUUGUUGGUGGGGUAAUGGCCUACCAAGGCGACGACGGGUAGCCGGCCUGAGAGGGUGACCGGCCACACUGGGACUGAGACACGGCCCAGACUCCUACGGGAGGCAGCAGUGGGGAAUAUUGCACAAUGGGCGCAAGCCUGAUGCAGCGACGCCGCGUGAGGGAUGACGGCCUUCGGGUUGUAAACCUCUUUCAGCAGGGAAGAAGCCACAAGUGACGGUACCUGCAGAAGAAGCGCCGGCUAACUACGUGCCAGCAGCCGCGGUAAUACGUAGGGCGCAAGCGUUGUCCGGAAUUAUUGGGCGUAAAGAGCUCGUAGGCGGUUUGUCGCGUCUGCUGUGAAAGCCCGGGGCUCAACCCCGGGUCUGCAGUGGGUACGGGCAGACUAGAGUGCAGUAGGGGAGACUGGAAUUCCUGGUGUAGCGGUGAAAUGCGCAGAUAUCAGGAGGAACACCGAUGGCGAAGGCAGGUCUCUGGGCUGUUACUGACGCUGAGGAGCGAAAGCAUGGGGAGCGAACAGGAUUAGAUACCCUGGUAGUCCAUGCCGUAAACGUUGGGCACUAGGUGUGGGGGACAUUCCACGUUCUCCGCGCCGUAGCUAACGCAUUAAGUGCCCCGCCUGGGGAGUACGGCCGCAAGGCUAAAACUCAAAGGAAUUGACGGGGGCC
Molecule: ribosomal RNA, 771 nt
Filed under: Kocuria flava
Lineage: Bacteria; Bacillati; Actinomycetota; Actinomycetes; Micrococcales; Micrococcaceae
Description: bacterial SSU rRNA
Rfam family: Bacterial small subunit ribosomal RNA
Source: RNAcentral